Mus musculus (house mouse) is the source of this 583-nucleotide RNA transcript. It is a transcript of the gene named predicted gene, 40193, with no coding region annotated. NCBI's taxonomy places the organism in Eukaryota, Metazoa, Chordata, Mammalia, Rodentia, Muridae. The record is from RefSeq and is marked validated. The transcript is spliced from 3 exons.
CACAGGAUUGCCCAAAGUAUGCUUAUUCAUGCCUUAGGUGUUGUUGUUGUUGUUGUUGUUGUUGUUGUUGUUGUUGUUGUUGUUUAGAGGCUGGCCUACAGCUUGCUCUGUAAAUCAAGCCGGCCUGGAAUUCAGAGAUCCACCAGCCAUUGUCUCCUGAGUGUCGGGAUUAAAGUUGCAUGCCACCACAGCAAGCUCAGGGCUGGGGAGAUGACUUCGUGGAUAAAGUGCCUGGAGCCGAAGCAUGAAGACCUGAGUUCAGAGCCCAAGUAGUCACAUAGAAGCCAGGCACGUGGCCUGGGGAGAGGUAUUGGCCUGAGACCUGCUUCCCCUCCAGUUCCUAGUCCAGCUGUAGCCCCCACUGUGACUGGAGGACUGCCUUCCCCAGGGGCUGGUGCCUACUUAAGCCGGAAAGCUCGUCUCUCCUUCCGCCACCAGCUGCAUGACGUGGCGUCAGCCAAUGACUCCACCAUUUGAAAAGGACAAGCAGGGGCUAAGCCUCCAAGAACUCUUAGCAACCUGUCACUAGUCUCAGUGGACCCAAGACGGUCAUAACCUCAUUAAAUUCGUUCAGAGUCACAAA